AUAUGGAGGGUGCAAGCGUUGUUCGGAAUUAUUGGGCGUAAAGAGCAUGUAGGCGGUCUGUUAAGUCUGGUGUGAAAGCCCGGGGCUCAACCCCGGAAGUGCAUUGGAUACUGGCAGACUUGAGUAUGGGAGAGGAAAGCGGAAUUCCGAGUGUAGGAGUGAAAUCCGUAGAUAUUCGGAGGAACACCAGUGGCGAAGGCGGCUUUCUGGACCAAUACUGACGCUGAGAUGCGAAAGCGUGGGGAGCGAACAGGAUUAGAAACCCUAGUAGUCC
This 274-nucleotide ribosomal RNA is filed under the name uncultured bacterium. RNAcentral's name for it is "partial 16S ribosomal RNA". It matches the Rfam family "Bacterial small subunit ribosomal RNA", at positions 523 to 796 of the family's 1533-position model. The record is from RNAcentral.